Molecule: transfer RNA, 58 nt
Filed under: Salmo salar (Atlantic salmon)
Lineage: Eukaryota; Metazoa; Chordata; Actinopteri; Salmoniformes; Salmonidae
Also listed under: 1 other name
Rfam family: tRNA
About the family: Transfer RNA (tRNA) molecules are approximately 80 nucleotides in length. Their secondary structure includes four short double-helical elements and three loops (D, anti-codon, and T loops). Further hydrogen bonds mediate the characteristic L-shaped molecular structure. tRNAs have two regions of fundamental functional importance: the anti-codon, which is responsible for specific mRNA codon recognition, and the 3' end, to which the tRNAs corresponding amino acid is attached (by aminoacyl-tRNA synthetases). tRNAs cope with the degeneracy of the genetic code in two manners: having more than one tRNA (with a specific anti-codon) for a particular amino acid; and 'wobble' base-pairing, i.e. permitting non-standard base-pairing at the 3rd anti-codon position.
Source: Rfam by way of RNAcentral
UGGCUCAGUUGGUAAAGCAUGGCACUUGCCAUGCCAGGGUUGUGGGUUCGAUUCCUAU